CAUAGUAUAGCUUAAC
RNAcentral lists this transfer RNA (16 nucleotides) under Gastrotheca peruana (Peru marsupial frog). Its description in RNAcentral is "partial tRNA-Val". Lineage: Eukaryota; Metazoa; Chordata; Amphibia; Anura; Hemiphractidae. The record is from RNAcentral.